CUCGGGAUAGUGAAGUGGUAUCAUGCUAGCCUCAUAAGCUAGAGUUCGUAGGUUCGACUCCUGCUCCCGAAA
Molecule: transfer RNA, 72 nt
Filed under: Prevotellaceae bacterium
Lineage: Bacteria; Pseudomonadati; Bacteroidota; Bacteroidia; Bacteroidales; Prevotellaceae
Description: tRNA-Met
Rfam family: tRNA
About the family: Transfer RNA (tRNA) molecules are approximately 80 nucleotides in length. Their secondary structure includes four short double-helical elements and three loops (D, anti-codon, and T loops).
Source: RNAcentral